GGGCGAUUUCCCGAGUGGCCAAAGGGGACAGACUGUAAAUCUGCUGGCAACGCCUUCGGUGGUUCGAAUCCACCAUCGCCCAUCA
RNAcentral lists this transfer RNA (85 nucleotides) under Blautia hansenii DSM 20583. Its description in RNAcentral is "tRNA-Tyr". It matches the Rfam family "tRNA". Rfam says of the family: Transfer RNA (tRNA) molecules are approximately 80 nucleotides in length. Their secondary structure includes four short double-helical elements and three loops (D, anti-codon, and T loops). The record is from RNAcentral. Lineage: Bacteria; Bacillati; Bacillota; Clostridia; Lachnospirales; Lachnospiraceae. RNAcentral also lists the same sequence under 6 other names.